UGCAUCACUAUUAGUUUCUCGAGACAGAUGGUUUAUUUGCCUAGCUUACGAUGCUCCAAGGUAUGGAAUAUACGAGUCUACAUUACUAUCACUAGCUAACAGAGCCCAUUCAUCCUGAGACCAGCAACCAGAAUGGAAGGAAACUUAAAAAGCUCUGUCUUUGUCACCCCUCUUGGGCAUGUUUGAUGGAGUUCAAGGAAUCUGGUUCGGAAUGAAAGCGCCCACAGAUCCUUGGCACACAAUGCUGUUCAAUACGAUUGAGCCAAUUUUGUGUGCUCGCUGGGCUGAGACAGCAGGAUGUUAAAACAUGGAGGAAAGAAGUCAGGCUAAUGGAUGGAAGGGCGUGGCAGCACCACGUGGAGUCCCAUGGCGUAUGACCAAACAGAACAGUAAAUGAUGACAAAGAAACCUGUCAGACAGCCAUGUUGUCUCAUACAGUACAUCUCAGGUCAUGGACACGACAUCCUACAAUCACAUCUUACAAUCAAUCAGGGUUUCUGGUGAAGGAUGUUCCCGGAACGUGUCAGAUUUCUUUCUCCUCAACUUGUCCUAAAGUAAAGAAAUGGUCAAAAAGGAUGUAUGCCUAACCUCCUGCUGAUGUCUGUAAAUGUUCUUUUGUAAGAAAGAAUCGAGUGAAAUAAAUGAUUUUGAAUGUA
This is a long non-coding RNA of Oncorhynchus kisutch (coho salmon), 656 nucleotides long. RefSeq lists it as uncharacterized. The transcript has 3 exons. NCBI's taxonomy places the organism in Eukaryota, Metazoa, Chordata, Actinopteri, Salmoniformes, Salmonidae. The record is from RefSeq and is a predicted model, not a curated record.